CUUCUCUCUCCAGUUUCUCUGCACUUCCAUCCUUCCCUCUCUCUCUGCCUUCCCGUCUCUCAUCUUUUUUUGGAAGAUGAGAUCCUGAGGAUCCCUAGGUCUCUAGAGAACUCAUCUUCAAGGCAGAACCUCAGCAGCCAGCUCUGUGUUUGAUCAACACUUGAAGUGCCUGCAAAUACUCUUUGCUUCUCAUUUAAAUUUGUAUCGAUCUCCCAAAUGGCAAACAGGAGAACAUAAACAAAAGCCAGUCCCUGAGAAGUCAGAAUUACUGAGAAAUGAACCAGGGUCUCCUUGUGCAGAAGUGUUCUGUGGAUGGCAAGACCUGGAGGUGGGAAUACAUGGAUCAUUAAGAGCUGUCUCCUUCUUGAGAACAGGCUGCAGAAAUCUUUUAUGGGAAAGAGCUGGUUCCUCCAAGGAUGCUUCCAAUUAUCUUUAGUGAUGUGAAGGUACUACUGGUGGGAAUUUCAGAUCCAGUGGGGUGGUAAAUAUUUGUCUUCUCACAAAAUGCUUUUCACAGGGUCUCCUUCCACAAAUGAGCAUUCUCAGCGCACUGAAUGAGACCCUGGAGGACCAGAAGAAUGAUUGCUUCUCUCCAAGGUGAUCCAGAGGUGAAUAUCAUCCCCUGGAGGAUGCCUCUGGCCCAUUGACUGGGAAACACUGCAGUGACCGAGGCAGAAGGCGCUCCAAAUGCAAAGAACAUUAUUCCAAGCAAACGAGGGAGCCCAGCAAUUAUUUCCACUCAAAAGUUGGUAAUGAAUCGGCAUGUUUAUUUAUUCAUUCAUUAAAUGUAGGCAAACAAGCAACCAAAGAGGAAGCCGUCUGGCCAUUCUUUUAAUGAAUCUGCCCCAUUUCUGAGUGAAAUGUAGGCCAUGCAGAUGAAAUGCUGAGCUCUGGAAAUAUAUUACCCACUCAGGAAGCCAUCCUUCCAGCCUUAAUUAAAGAAAAUCAACAACUCCCUUUUGCAGUGGAUGAUGAUGGAAAUCAAACCAAGGAACUGAAAUACAGACUUGCCAGCUUGCAAGCUGGGUCAGGCUUGACUGGGCUUGCAGAAACCAGGGAACCUCAUGAAUUCAUUGGAAAGAUUGUGCCUUGGGUGGCACCAGAACCCUGUAACGUCAAUAGCAGCCAAGAUAUUACAGGCAAUUAAUGUCAUUAUAGGACACCAAAUAUUUUUUGAUGAAGCUUUGAUGACUCAUUCAUUCAUUCGUUCAUUCCCUCAAUUUUUUAUUUGUCCAUAUGCUCAUUCAUUCAUCUACUCAGUAAGCAUUUACUAAGUACCUACUACGUGCUAGGCAUUGCACCAUGGAUAUAAAAAGCUAAUCAAAAAUAAACAUUGUCUCAUUCUAUUACUCUUAAUUUUUAGUAGAGAAGAUGUUUACUAGGGGAAUUAUCACAUAAAUAUGUAAUGAUAAAUUGCAAAAGAACUCAGAGGGAAAACUACAAGAAGCCAGCAUAUAAACCAGUUGAGGACAAGGAGAAGAAGGUAGAACAAUCCAGAUACGGAGAACAGUAUGUGCUCAUGUGCCAAUUUUCAGAAAUGGAAGGGAGCACCAUCACCAGAGAGAAUGCCCUUUGGGUAUGGUUUUGCCUCACCUUUGUAUACCAAGUAAUGGAAUUCUCUUUAUAUGAUUAAAUUAGGAAAUGUUUGUGGACUGAAAACUGCCAUGAUAAGAUAAGGCUUAGUUUGAGUGUGUUGGUCUAGAUGCCAAGGAGACUGAUGGGAACCCUGAUUUCACCCUUUUAACCUCUUAAAAGGAGGACUGAGCUUGCCUUGAUGCAGUAGGAACAUGAACUCUGGACCUCCUGUCAUGUGGAUUGCCUCUACCUCAAACCCAGUGUCCUAGAGAGCUCUUGGUUCUUAGCUCCCACGCUCCUCCUGUCCAUGAGUCUGCCAAUCCCUAGUGCAUGGACUCUGGAGAUUCAUCAUGCAAUUAAAACCUGCACCUGCUGCUUAUAAUCUCUAUAACUUUGGGCAAGUCAUUUAAUCUCAUUUUGCCUCAGAUUCCUUGUCUAAAAAUUGGGUGUGAUAGUAGUGUCUAUCUUAGACUUGAGGCUAUGGUGAGGAGGGGCUAUAUGGAAGACACAGAGCAGACAUGCAUACUGAUAUUAUUAUUACUUAGGUAAUUCUCCUCAUUCCCACUUCAGACCAAAGUGCAAGAAAGAAGCUUAUGUUUAACAUCAGAGUAUGUGGAUGGACUUGUGUGUGUGUGUAUGCUCCAUGUCAUUAAGCACAACUGAAAGGUAAACACCCCUGAGACAGGUGUAAAAUGUGUGUGAUGUGAGUAAUGGCUCUUGGCCAUGUCUAAUGCAGGGAUCCUUGGGUAACUGCAAAGUCAGGGUGGCUGGAGUCCAUGAGACUUGGAGUAUUUUAGUAGGAUUCUGCUGAUGGCAUCUGGGUAGCAGCUUGUGACAGUGUUUGCAGUAAUAGCAUGUCCUCCUGAAGAUGGUGAUAUUUUCCAACUCCAUCUCUUUAACUGCCCCACCCACUUAGCUAGCCAUGGUCUACUGAGUUCUGCAUGGAAUAUAGCCUGUCUCACGUCCAUUUUAUACCCAAGCUGUUCUUUCUGCUCUGAAAGCACUCUUUGCCUACUUCCCUUCUCAUUCACAGCCAUCAGGCAAACCAUUCACCUUCCAAGACUUGGCUUAUACAUCUGUCCCCACUGAGUAUCUCUUGGACUCAUCUUCCAUCCCCCAUCAUUAUAAGAUCAGACAUUUUCUUCUUUAUUCCUGACUGAAAUGUAUAUAUAACACAUGCUGUCUUGUCUUAUUAGACUUAUAAGUCUGUCUCCAAACAUAGAUUCUAGGAACAUUCCUACAAGACAGAGCUUUGUUAUGUCUCUUGUGUG
Molecule: long non-coding RNA, 2846 nt
Organism: Canis lupus familiaris (dog)
Lineage: Eukaryota; Metazoa; Chordata; Mammalia; Carnivora; Canidae
Exons: 4
Source: RefSeq, a predicted model, not a curated record